GCGAUGGACAACAGGUUGAUAUUCCUGUACCACCUCUUCAUCGUUUGAGCAAUGGGGGGACGCAGGAGGAUAGGGUAAGCGCACUGCUGGAAAUGUGCGUCUAAGCAGUUAGGCUGGAAAGCAGGCAAAUCCGCUUUCCGUGAAGGCUGAGCUGUGACAGCGAGGGAAAUAUAGUACCGAAGUUCCUGAUUCCACACUGCCAAGAAAAGCCUCUAGCGAGAUGGAAGGUGCCCGUACCGCAAACCGACACAGGUAGGCGAGGAGAGAAUCCUAAGGUGAGCGAGAGAACUCUCGUUAAGGAACUCGGCAAAAUAACCCCGUAACUUCGGGAGAAGGGGUGCUCUUUAGGGUUCAUAGCCCUGAAGAGCCGCAGUGAAUAGGCCCAGGCGACUGUUUAGCAAAAACACAGGUCUCUGCGAAGCCGCAAGGCGAAGUAUAGGGGCUGACGCCUGCCCGGUGCUGGAAGGUUAAGAGGAGGGGUUAGCUCACGCGAAGCUCUGAAUCGAAGCCCCAGUAAACGGCGGCCGUAACUAUAACGGUCCUAAGGUAGCGAAAUUCCUUGUCGGGUAAGUUCCGACCCGCACGAAAGGCGUAACGAUCUGGGCACUGUCUCAACGAGAGACUCGGUGAAAUUAUAGUACCUGUGAAGAUGCAGGUUACCCGCGACAGGACGGAAAGACCCCGUGGAGCUUUACUGCAGCCUGAUAUUGAAUUUUGGUACAGCUUGUACAGGAUAGGUAGGAGCCUUUGAAGCCGGAGCGCCAGCUUCGGUGGAGGCGUCGGUGGGAUACUACCCUGGCUGUAUUGAAAUUCUAACCCGCAUCCCUUAUC
RNAcentral lists this ribosomal RNA (831 nucleotides) under Bacillus sp. FJAT-27225. RNAcentral describes it as "bacterial LSU rRNA". It matches the Rfam family "Bacterial large subunit ribosomal RNA", at positions 1415 to 2240 of the family's 2925-position model. Lineage: Bacteria; Bacillati; Bacillota; Bacilli; Caryophanales; Bacillaceae. The record is from RNAcentral.